CAUGCCCCUUAUACGCUGGGCUACACACGUGCUACAAUGGGUAGAACAGAGAGUCGCAAAGCUGUGAAGUGGAGCUAAUCUCAGAAAACUAUUCUUAGUUCGGAUUGUACUCUGCAACUCGAGUACAUGAAGUUGGAAUCGCUAGUAAUCGCGAAUCAGCAAUGUCGCGGUGAAUACGUUCUCGGGUCUUGUACACACCGCCCGUCACACCACGAGAGUUGGUUGCACCUGAAGUAGCAGGCCUAACCGUAAGGAGGGAUGCUCCGAGGGUGUGAUUAGCGAUUGGGGUGAAGUCGUAACAAGGUAUCCGUACGGGAACGUGCGGAUGGAUCACCUCCUUUCUAAGGAGAAAAUGUCUUUCUCUAUUCUAUUGGUAAUGUUCUUUACAUUACUUCUGAACAUUGGAAACUAUAUAGUAGAACAAACAAGAAAACAAAAUUAACUCUAACAAUUUCUUAGAGUUAGCUGUCAAAAAAAAUAGAUUAAAAUAAUUAAGGGCACACAAAGGAUGCCUUGGUAGUAAGAGCCGAUGAAGGACGUGGUAAGCUGCGAUAAGCCUAG
This 561-nucleotide small RNA is filed under the name uncultured Fusobacterium sp. RNAcentral describes it as "bacterial SSU rRNA". The stretch from base 1 to 341 matches the Rfam family "Bacterial small subunit ribosomal RNA", at positions 1194 to 1533 of the family's 1533-position model. The record is from RNAcentral. Lineage: Bacteria; Fusobacteriati; Fusobacteriota; Fusobacteriia; Fusobacteriales; Fusobacteriaceae.